Molecule: ribosomal RNA, 253 nt
Filed under: uncultured bacterium
Lineage: Bacteria
Description: partial 16S ribosomal RNA
Rfam family: Bacterial small subunit ribosomal RNA
Source: RNAcentral
UACGGAGGGGGCUAGCGUUGUUCGGAAUUACUGGGCGUAAAGCGCGCGUAGGCGGACCUGCAAGUCGGGGGUGAAAGCCCGAGGCUCAACCUCGGAACUGCCUUCGAUACUGCGGGUCUCGAGUCCGGGAGAGGUGAGUGGAAUUCCUAGUGUAGAGGUGAAAUUCGUAGAUAUUAGGAAGAACACCGGUGGCGAAGGCGGGUCUCUGGGCCGAUAUCGACGCUGAGGAGCGAAAGCGUGGGGAGCGAACAGG